UACGUAGGGGGCAAGCGUUGUCCGGAAUCAUUGGGCGUAAAGAGCGUGUAGGCGGCCAGAUAAGUCCGCUGUGAAAUCUCGAGGCUCAACUUCGAGCUGUCGGUGGAAACUGUCUGGCUAGAGUCCGGAAGAGGCGAGUGGAAUUCCUGGUGUAGCGGUGAAAUGCGCAGAUAUCAGGAGGAACACCGAUGGCGAAGGCAGCUCGCUGGGACGGUACUGACGCUGAGGCGCGAAAGCGUGGGGAGCAAACAGG
RNAcentral lists this ribosomal RNA (253 nucleotides) under uncultured bacterium. RNAcentral describes it as "partial 16S ribosomal RNA". It matches the Rfam family "Bacterial small subunit ribosomal RNA", at positions 524 to 776 of the family's 1533-position model. The record is from RNAcentral.